UCCCGGUUAACCCGGGCAGUCUCGUUAGAGUUCCCAUCCUAAAUGGUGGCAACUAACAAUAAGGGUUGCGCUCGUUGCGGGACUUAACCCAACACCUCACGGCACGAGCUGACGACAGCCAUGCAGCACCUGUGCAGCGGUCCCGAAGGAAAGCCCUAUUUCUAGGGCGGUCCACUGCAUGUCAAGCCUGGGUAAGGUUCUUCGCGUUGCAUCGAAUUAAACCACAUGCUCCACUGCUUGUGCGGGUCCCCGUCAAUUCUUUUGAGUUUCAGCCUUGCGGCCGUACUCCCCAGGCGGGGUACUUCAUGCGUUAGCGCCGGCACCCAGGGGGUCGCUCCCCCAGACACCUAGUACCCAUCGUUUACGGCGUGGACUAC
RNAcentral lists this unclassified non-coding RNA (377 nucleotides) under uncultured bacterium. RNAcentral describes it as "contains 16S-23S intergenic spacer region". The record is from RNAcentral.